RNAcentral lists this ribosomal RNA (118 nucleotides) under Pteropus alecto (black flying fox). Lineage: Eukaryota; Metazoa; Chordata; Mammalia; Chiroptera; Pteropodidae. The record is from RNAcentral.
GUCUACGGCCAUGACGCCCCGAACAACCCGAUCCCGUCUGAUCUCGGACGCUAAGCAGGGUCGGGCCUGGUUAGUACUUGGAUGGGAGACCACCUAGGAAGACCAGGUACUGUAGGCG